AGAGUUUGAUCAUGGCUCAGGACGAACGCUGGCGGCGUGCUUAACACAUGCAAGUCGAGCGGUAAGACCCUUCGGGGUACACGAGCGGCGAACGGGUGAGUAACACGUGAGCAACCUGCCCCUGACUCCGGGAUAAGCGGUGGAAACGCCGUCUAAUACCGGAUACGACCCUCCUCCGCAUGGUGGGGGGUGGAAAGUUUUUUCGGUCGGGGAUGGGCUCGCGGCCUAUCAGCUUGUUGGUGGGGUAACGGCCUACCAAGGCGAUUACGGGUAGCCGGCCUGAGAGGGCGACCGGCCACACUGGGACUGAGACACGGCCCAGACUCCUGCGGGAGGCAGCAGUGGGGAAUAUUGCGCAAUGGGCGAAAGCCUGACGCAGCGACGCCGCGUGGGGGAUGACGGCCUUCGGGUUGUAAACCUCUUUUACCACUCACGCAGGCCCCGGGUUCUCCCGGGGUUGACGGUAGGUGGGGAAUAAGGACCGGCUAACUACGUGCCAGCAGCCGCGGUAAUACGUAGGGUCCGAGCGUUGUCCGGAAUUAUUGGGCGUAAAGAGCUCGUAGGCGGCGUGUCGCGUCUGCUGUGAAAGACCGGGGCUUAACCCCGGUUCUGCAGUGGAUACGGGCAUGCUAGAGGUAGGUAGGGGAGACUGGAAUUCCUGGUGUAGCGGUGAAAUGCGCAGAUAUCAGGAGGAACACCGGUGGCGAAGGCGGGUCUCUGGGCCUUACCUGACGC
RNAcentral lists this ribosomal RNA (735 nucleotides) under uncultured bacterium. RNAcentral describes it as "bacterial SSU rRNA". It matches the Rfam family "Bacterial small subunit ribosomal RNA", at positions 8 to 746 of the family's 1533-position model. The record is from RNAcentral.